AGGGUUUGAUUAUGGCUCAGGAUUAACGCUGGCGGCAUGCCUAAUACAUGCAAGUCGAACGAGAAAUUUAUUUCUAGUGGCGAUCGGGCGAGUAAUGUAUUUUUAACAUUCCCCAAAGAGAGGGAUAUCUAUUGGCAACGAUACAUAAUACCUCAUUCCAUACAGUAUGGCAUCAUAUUGUGUUUAAAGGUGGGUUUGCGGCACUAUGGGAUGGGGAAAUAUCACAUUACAUCGUUGGUAGGGUAAAGGCCUUCCAAGGCGAUGAUGUGUAGCCGAGCUGAGAGGUUGAUCGGCCACAAUGGGACUGAGACACGGCCCAUACUCCUACGGGAGGCAGCAGUAGGGAAUUUUCCACAAUGGUAGAAAGUAUGAUGGAGCAAUUUCGCGUGAGGGACGUCGGUCUUGGGAUUGUAAGCCUCUGUUAUAAGGGAAGAUCAACCUAUAUAGGAAAUGAUAUAGUUGUGACGGUACUUUAUCAGAAAGUCCCGGCUAUAUAUGUGCCAGCAGCCGCGGUAAU
This 517-nucleotide ribosomal RNA is filed under the name uncultured bacterium. RNAcentral's name for it is "bacterial SSU rRNA". It matches the Rfam family "Bacterial small subunit ribosomal RNA", at positions 8 to 524 of the family's 1533-position model. The record is from RNAcentral.